GCAAGUCGAGCGCACUCUUCGGGACCGAGCGGCGGACGGGUUAGUAACGCGUGGGAACAUACCCUUUUCUACGGAAUAGCCUCGGGAAACUGAGAGUAAUACCGUAUACGCCCUUUGGGGGAAAGAUUUAUCGGUGAAGGAUUGGCCCGCGUUAGAUUAGAUAGUUGGUGGGGUAAUGGCCUACCAAGUCUACGAUCUAUAGCUGGUUUGAGAGGAUGAUC
RNAcentral lists this ribosomal RNA (221 nucleotides) under uncultured bacterium. RNAcentral describes it as "partial 16S ribosomal RNA". It matches the Rfam family "Bacterial small subunit ribosomal RNA", at positions 57 to 305 of the family's 1533-position model. The record is from RNAcentral.